AAAGGAAUAGACGGGGACCCGCACAAGCGGUGGAGCAUGUGGUUUAAUUCGACGCAACGCGAAGAACCUUACCAGGCCUUGACAUCCGGCCGGCAAUCGGGGCAACGCCCGACUUCCUUCGGGACGGCCGAGACAGGUGGUGCAUGGUUGUCGUCAGCUCGUGUCGUGAGAUGUUGGGUUAAGUCCCGCAACGAGCGCAACCCUUGCCCUCAGUAGCCAGCGCGUGGAGGCGGGCACUCUGAGGGGACUGCCGGGGACAACCCGGAGGAAGGCGGGGACGACGUCAAAUCAUCAUGCCCCUUAUGGUCUGGGCAACACACGUGCUACAAUGGCGGCGACAGAGGGAAGCGAGCCCGCGAGGGGGAGCGAAUCCCAAAAAAGCCGUCCCAGUUCGGAUUGCAGUCUGCAACUCGACUGCAUGAAGCCGGAAUCGCUAGUAAUCGCGGAUCAGCAUGCCGCGGUGAAUACGUUCCCGGGUCUUGCACACACCGCCCGU
This 496-nucleotide ribosomal RNA is filed under the name uncultured bacterium. RNAcentral describes it as "bacterial SSU rRNA". It matches the Rfam family "Bacterial small subunit ribosomal RNA", at positions 903 to 1397 of the family's 1533-position model. The record is from RNAcentral.